This 483-nucleotide ribosomal RNA is filed under the name uncultured Sphingobacteriales bacterium. RNAcentral's name for it is "bacterial SSU rRNA". It matches the Rfam family "Bacterial small subunit ribosomal RNA", at positions 898 to 1382 of the family's 1533-position model. The record is from RNAcentral. Lineage: Bacteria; Pseudomonadati; Bacteroidota; Sphingobacteriia; Sphingobacteriales.
AACUUAAAGGAAGUUGACGGGGCCCGCACAAGCGGAGGAACAUGUGGUUUAAUUCGAUGAUACGCGAGGAACCUUACCUGGGCUUAAAUGGGGAGUGACAGCUGUCGAAAGAUGGUUUUCUUCGGACACUCUUCAAGGUGCUGCAUGGUUGUCGUCAGCUCGUGCCGUGAGGUGUCGGGUUAAGUCCCAUAACGAGCGCAACCCUUACCGUUAGUUACCAUCAGGUUAAGCUGGGGACUCUAGCGGGACUGCCACCGUAAGGUGAGAGGAAGGCGGGGAUGACGUCAAAUCAGCACGGCCCUUACGUCCAGGGCUACACACGUGCUACAAUGGCCGAUACAGAGGGCAGCUACCUGGUGACAGGAUGCAAAUCUCCAAAGUCGGUCUCAGUUCGGAUCGGAGUCUGCAACCCGACUCCGUGAAGUUGGAUUCGCUAGUAAUCGCGCAUCAGACCAUGGCGCGGUGAAUACGUUCCCGGGCCUU